Molecule: long non-coding RNA, 216 nt
Filed under: Physcomitrium patens
Lineage: Eukaryota; Viridiplantae; Streptophyta; Bryopsida; Funariales; Funariaceae
Description: long non-coding RNA (PPAT_LNC006255)
Source: RNAcentral
GAUUUGUGAAAUAAAAUGGGAGAUACUUUUUGGAGAAUUUUGUAAGUUUGGCAAUAGUUCUAUAAAUAAAAAUUUUGAAGAUUUGUGGAUAUAUAUAAGCUCAAUAUAUGUUAUGAUUUUAAGCUUGAUCAAAGAUUUGGAUUGGAGGUUAUUGAGAUUUAAGUGGAUCAAGGUUUAGAAAAAUAGAGUUUUAGGUCCAAUAAGGGUUUCUAAGAU